RNAcentral lists this unclassified non-coding RNA (267 nucleotides) under Glomus sp. RNAcentral describes it as "partial contains 5.8S ribosomal RNA and internal transcribed spacer 2". The stretch from base 1 to 71 matches the Rfam family "5.8S ribosomal RNA", at positions 84 to 154 of the family's 154-position model. The record is from RNAcentral. Lineage: Eukaryota; Fungi; Glomeromycota; Glomeromycetes; Glomerales; Glomeraceae.
GUGAAUCAUCGAAUCUUUGAACGCAAAUUGCACUCUCUGGUAUUCCGGAGAGUAUGCCUGUUUGAGGGUCAGUUUAGAUAAAAAUCGGUGUGGUUGGUGCCUUUUGUGGUGAAGCAGCGGAUGUGGGUUGUCUUGGCUUCGGUUAAGUGAUCUAAAAUUUUGCAUGAUUUUUUCGAACGUAUUUAAAUGAUUUUACGUACGUUUGUGAUAUCGAAUAUUAUGUGCGGUUAUCUUCAUGAUGCUAGGAUUUAAUUUGUAAUCUAAGUG